Molecule: long non-coding RNA, 241 nt
Organism: Zalophus californianus (California sea lion)
Lineage: Eukaryota; Metazoa; Chordata; Mammalia; Carnivora; Otariidae
Exons: 3
Source: RefSeq, a predicted model, not a curated record
CAUUCUGUUGAUUUGGUGAAUGUGAAGCACAGUGCCUUAGUCUUUUCAGGCUGCUGUAACAAAAUACCACCAACUGGGUAGCAUAUAAAUGCGGAAAUUUAUUUCUCAUAGUUUGGAGAGUGGAAGUCCAAGACUGAGAUCCCAACAUGGUCAGAUGUUACCUGAUUUAAGCUUUACAUCUACUCUGCAAGGGCUUCCUCAUGCAGAAAAAUGGCUUGCCUCGCUCUUCUGGAUUCUGAAG